Molecule: transfer RNA, 74 nt
Filed under: Chelatococcus asaccharovorans
Lineage: Bacteria; Pseudomonadati; Pseudomonadota; Alphaproteobacteria; Hyphomicrobiales; Chelatococcaceae
Also listed under: 1 other name
Rfam family: tRNA
About the family: Transfer RNA (tRNA) molecules are approximately 80 nucleotides in length. Their secondary structure includes four short double-helical elements and three loops (D, anti-codon, and T loops). Further hydrogen bonds mediate the characteristic L-shaped molecular structure. tRNAs have two regions of fundamental functional importance: the anti-codon, which is responsible for specific mRNA codon recognition, and the 3' end, to which the tRNAs corresponding amino acid is attached (by aminoacyl-tRNA synthetases). tRNAs cope with the degeneracy of the genetic code in two manners: having more than one tRNA (with a specific anti-codon) for a particular amino acid; and 'wobble' base-pairing, i.e. permitting non-standard base-pairing at the 3rd anti-codon position.
Source: Rfam by way of RNAcentral
CGGGGCAUAGCGCAGUCUGGUAGCGCAUCUGCUUUGGGAGCAGAGGGUCGCAGGUUCAAAUCCUGCUGCCCCGA